RNAcentral lists this transfer RNA (72 nucleotides) under Urocitellus parryii (Arctic ground squirrel). Its description in RNAcentral is "Spermophilus parryii (Arctic ground squirrel) tRNA". It matches the Rfam family "tRNA". Rfam says of the family: Transfer RNA (tRNA) molecules are approximately 80 nucleotides in length. Their secondary structure includes four short double-helical elements and three loops (D, anti-codon, and T loops). Lineage: Eukaryota; Metazoa; Chordata; Mammalia; Rodentia; Sciuridae. RNAcentral also lists the same sequence under 1 other name. The record is from Rfam by way of RNAcentral.
UGGGUUGUGUCUCAGUGGUAGAGCGCUUGCCUAGCAUGUGUGAGGGACUGGGUUCAAUUCCCAGUACCACAU